Molecule: ribosomal RNA, 447 nt
Filed under: uncultured bacterium
Lineage: Bacteria
Description: bacterial SSU rRNA
Rfam family: Bacterial small subunit ribosomal RNA
Source: RNAcentral
UGGGGAAUAUUGGACAAUGGGCGCAAGCCUGAUCCAGCCAUGCCGCGUGAGUGACGAAGGUCUUCGGAUUGUAAAACUCUUUUGGCGGGGACGAUAAUGACGGUACCCGCAGAAUAAGCCCCGGCUAACUACGUGCCAGCAGCCGCGGUAAUACGUAGGGACCAAGCGUUGUUCGGAUUUACUGGGCGUAAAGGGCGCGUAGGCGGCAUGACAAGUCACUUGUGAAAUCUCUGGGCUUAACCCAGAACGGCCAAGUGAUACUGUCGCGCUAGAGUGCAGAAGGGGCAAUCGGAAUUCUUGGUGUAGCGGUGAAAUGCGUAGAUAUGUGGAGGAAUACCGAUGGCGAAGGCAGCCCCCUGGGAUAACACUGACGCUCAUGCACGAAAGCGUGGGGAGCAAACAGGAUUAGAUACCCCAGUAGUCCCUGAGCGGGCUGGCAAGGCGCAU